RNAcentral lists this long non-coding RNA (771 nucleotides) under Anser brachyrhynchus (Pink-footed goose). RNAcentral describes it as "lncRNA (ENSABRG00000021820.1)". Lineage: Eukaryota; Metazoa; Chordata; Aves; Anseriformes; Anatidae. The record is from RNAcentral.
UUAUCAUUAUCACUAUUAUUAUUAUUAUUGUUAUUAUUAUAUUCCUGUCUUAAUAAACUGUCUUUAUCUCAACUCACCGGCUUCACUUUCCCGUUUCUCUCCCCCAUCCCAGAGAGGGAGAGGGGAGGGUGAGCAAACGGCUGUGUGGUGUUUAGCUGCCAGCCGGGUUAAACCACAACACUCAGGGAAGAAGAGGAAUUUCCUGGGGAAAUGUAAACUGGUACAGGGGAAUUGUCACUGGAGGCAAAGAAAAUAAAAUCACCUCAGAAGUGUUGCAAGGAUGUGAUCUACAGUCAGCUUUUGAGCGAGCCAGUAAGGUCCCUCCCUGAUGGAAAGCACGCUGCUGUGGAUGCCCAGCGAUAGGUGAGCACAAACUAAAUUCUUUUCAGAGUUGCCAAGCUGUGAGAGUACGUCCUGCAUGAGAGGACACUCAGGAGCUUAAUGGUAGAGGAUAUUCAAGGGUUAUUACACCACUCUGCUCCCUGCCAUCUCACUAGGCUAGGAGCAGUAACUGUAUCGUUACAGGUCAAAAUCUGUUUUCAAAAAUAAUCAUUUCUCUCCUUGGCAGCCUUGUCUGGGUCUUUCCUGAGACAUUAAAAAGAGCGAUUUUCAAAACUUGCUGCAAAAUUCUUAGGGUAGAUUUGCACCUGGACAUCACAAGUAUAUCAGCCGGAGACUUUCAAGAUGUAAUAUUUCACCUGUAGUGUGGGGGCAGAGGAGGAAUGAUGAAUUUUUCAUGAUUUAUAAUAAAAUUCCUGAGAACUAGUCUCA